RNAcentral lists this ribosomal RNA (407 nucleotides) under uncultured bacterium. RNAcentral describes it as "partial 16S ribosomal RNA". It matches the Rfam family "Bacterial small subunit ribosomal RNA", at positions 28 to 526 of the family's 1533-position model. The record is from RNAcentral.
GACGAACGCUGGCGGCGUGCCUAAUACAUGCAAGUAGGACGCAGUUGCGAACGGGUGAGUAACGCGUAGGUAACUACCUAUUAGAGGGGGAUAACUAUUGGCAACGAUAGCUAAUACCGCAUACUAGUAGAUGGACCUGCGGUUUAUUAGCUAGUAGGUCGGGUAAUGGCCUACCAAGGCAACGAUACAUAACCGAACUGAGAGGGGGAUCGGGCACACUGGGACGUGUAAAAGGCCCAGACUCCUACGGGAGGCAGCAGUAGGGAAACUUCGGCAAUGGGGGGAACCCUGGCCCGGCAACGCCGCGGGAGUGAAGAAGGUUUUCGGAUCGUAAAGCUCUGUUGUUAAGGAAGCGGUACUUAACCAGAAAGGGACGGCUAACUACGUGCCAGCAGCCGCGGUAAUUC